Hyaena hyaena (striped hyena) is the source of this 462-nucleotide long non-coding RNA. RefSeq lists it as uncharacterized. The record is from RefSeq and is a predicted model, not a curated record. The transcript is spliced from 2 exons. Lineage: Eukaryota; Metazoa; Chordata; Mammalia; Carnivora; Hyaenidae.
GGCAAGAGGAAGCUCUGCCUUUGGCUGUCUGCAUUGGCAUGCCUGAUCCUUGAUUUCUCAGCCUCGCCUCCACCAUCAAGGUGAAGUUCUACAGGCCAAGUGGCAUUGAUGCUCAGCUGGAGCCCACGUUCCACUUCUGCGCCAUGCUCCCAAUACCUGAGACUCCAGGAGGCCCUGUCUAAACAGGUCCACAUUGACCUCCAGGGACUGAAAUGUUGAUGUGGCAGAAGUUCAUCGUGAACCAUGCUGAGGAAGGCAACAUCUGUGAGGAUGGUGGAGAAUUACAUGGGCAGAAAAUGAAUCCAUAGAAGAAAAAUCACAGAGCAAAGCCUCACCUGCUUAGGCUGUUUGGACUUUUAAAUUGUUCCAUGUGCAAAAGUCAAACUUAAGACAUGGUCUUUUGUUUGCUUGCUUGUUUUCCAGCAGUUUAGUCUUUAUCCUAUUAAAACCACUUAGAAAAUA